CAUAGGUUAAUGAGGCGAACCGGGGGAACUGAAACAUCUAAGUACCCCGAGGAAAAGAAAUCAACCGAGAUUCCCCCAGUAGCGGCGAGCGAACGGGGAGCAGCCCAGAGCCUGAAUCAGUGUGUGUGUUAGUGGAAGCGUCUGGAAAGGCGCGCGAUACAGGGUGACAGCCCCGUACACAAAAAUGCACAUGCUGUGAGCUCGAUGAGUAGGGCGGGACACGUGGUAUCCUGUCUGAAUAUGGGGGGACCAUCCUCCAAGGCUAAAUACUCCUGACUGACCGAUAGUGAACCAGUACCGUGAGGGAAAGGCGAAAAGAACCCCGGC
RNAcentral lists this ribosomal RNA (327 nucleotides) under Escherichia coli. Its description in RNAcentral is "partial 23S ribosomal RNA". It matches the Rfam family "Bacterial large subunit ribosomal RNA", at positions 165 to 530 of the family's 2925-position model. Lineage: Bacteria; Pseudomonadati; Pseudomonadota; Gammaproteobacteria; Enterobacterales; Enterobacteriaceae. The record is from RNAcentral.